UACGGAGGAUCCAAGCGUUAUCCGGAAUCAUUGGGUUUAAAGGGUCCGUAGACGGUUUAAUAAGUCAGUGGUGAAAUCUGGUCGCUCAACGAUCAAACGGCCAUUGAUACUGUUAGACUUGAAUUAUUGGGAAGUAACUAGAAUAUGUAGUGUAGCGGUGAAAUGCUUAGAUAUUACAUGGAAUACCAAUUGCGAAGGCAGGUUACUACCAAUAUAUUGACGCUGAUGGACGAAAGCGUGGGGAGCGAACAGG
Molecule: ribosomal RNA, 253 nt
Filed under: uncultured bacterium
Lineage: Bacteria
Description: partial 16S ribosomal RNA
Rfam family: Bacterial small subunit ribosomal RNA
Source: RNAcentral